AACGAACGCUGGCGGCAUGCCUAACACAUGCAAGUCGAACGAGACCUUCGGGUCUAGUGGCGCACGGGUGCGUAACGCGUGGGAACCUGCCCUUAGGUUCGGAAUAACUCCCCGAAAGGGGUGCUAAUACCGGAUAAUGUCUUCGGACCAAAGAUUUAUCGCCUUUGGAUGGGCCCGCGUUGGAUUAGCUAGUUGGUAGGGUAAAAGCCUACCAAGGCGCCGAUCCAUAGCUGGUCUGAGAGGAUGAUCAGCCACACUGGGACUGAGACACGGCCCAGACUCCUACGGGAGGAAGCAGUGGGGAAUAUUGGACAAUGGGCGAAAGCCUGAUCCAGCAAUGCCGCGUGAGUGAUGAAGGCCUUAGGGUUGUAAAGCUCUUUUACCCGGGAUGAUAAUGACAGUACCGGGAGAAUAAGCUCCGGCUAACUCCGUG
This 433-nucleotide ribosomal RNA is filed under the name uncultured bacterium. RNAcentral describes it as "partial 16S ribosomal RNA". It matches the Rfam family "Bacterial small subunit ribosomal RNA", at positions 29 to 507 of the family's 1533-position model. The record is from RNAcentral.